Molecule: ribosomal RNA, 494 nt
Filed under: uncultured bacterium
Lineage: Bacteria
Description: partial 16S ribosomal RNA
Rfam family: Bacterial small subunit ribosomal RNA
Source: RNAcentral
GACGAACGCUGGCGGCGUGCUUAACACAUGCAAGUCGAACGGAAAGGCCUGCUUUCCCUUGUGGAUUGCGGGUACUCGAGUGGCGAACGGGUGAGUAACACGUGAGUGAUCUGCCCCCAACUUGGGUAUAAGCCUGGGAAACUGGGUCUAAUUCCCGAUAGGACUGCAGGGUGGUGCCUGUGGUGGAAAACGAUUUUCUAGUGGUUGGGGAUGAGCUCGCGGCCUAUCAGCUUGUUGGUGGGGUAAUGGCCUACCAAGGCGGCGACGGGUAGCCGGCCUGAGAGGGGGGACGGCCACAUUGGGACUGAGAUACGGCCCAGACUCCUACGGGAGGCAGCAGUGGGGAAUAUUGCACAAUGGGCGGAAGCCUGAUGCAGCGACGCCGCGUGGGGGAUGACGGCCUUCGGGUUGUAAACUCCUUUCGACCGCGAGGGAGCCACCUGGUUGGAAGGGUGGUGACGGUAGUGGUAGAAGAAGCACCGGCUAACUACGUG